CCAAAAUAUUGCUACAUAUAAAAAAAGACAACUCUGUUCCGCAGAGUAGCUGUUGACAUUAUAGUUGCGCAGGCACUUUGUUGACUCUAGAGAACCUCGGGCCAAUCGCACAUCCCCGUGAUGGCGACUUUGCAUUUGGAUGUCAUCCAUAUCAACUUUCGAUGCCAGUUUCUGUGCCUACCAUGGUGACCACGGGUAAUGGGGAGUCAGGGUUCCAUUCUGUACAGGGACCCUGAGAAAUGGCUACCACAUGCAAGGAAGGCAGCAGGCGCGCAAAUGACCCACUUCCGAUGCGGGAAGGUAGUGACG
Pelobates cultripes (western spadefoot toad) is the source of this 309-nucleotide non-coding RNA. NCBI's taxonomy places the organism in Eukaryota, Metazoa, Chordata, Amphibia, Anura, Pelobatidae. The record is from the annotation of a GenBank genome assembly.